RNAcentral lists this ribosomal RNA (251 nucleotides) under uncultured bacterium. RNAcentral describes it as "partial 16S ribosomal RNA". It matches the Rfam family "Bacterial small subunit ribosomal RNA", at positions 57 to 305 of the family's 1533-position model. The record is from RNAcentral.
GCAAGUCGAGGGGUAACAUUGUAGCUUGCUACAGAUGACGACCGGCGCACGGGUGCGUAACGCGUAUAGAACCUACCUUUUACAGGGGAAUAGCCCAGAGAAAUUUGGAUUAAUGCCCCAUGGUAUUAUUGAAUGGCAUCAUUUAAUAAUUAAACAUUUAUGGGUAAAAGAUGGCUAUGCGUUCUAUUAGCUAGAUGGUAAGGUAACGGCUUACCAUGGCGACGAUCCCUAGCUGGUCUGAGAGGAUGAUC